RNAcentral lists this long non-coding RNA (2299 nucleotides) under Sus scrofa (pig). RNAcentral's name for it is "lncRNA (ENSSSCG00040002716.1)". Lineage: Eukaryota; Metazoa; Chordata; Mammalia; Artiodactyla; Suidae. The record is from RNAcentral.
CCUGAUACCGGGAAACCCUUGGUCUUCCAAGGGGUCUUCAUGGGGUUGGGCCAUCUCCAAGGUAAAGUGGCAAAUGCUAGGCAGUUUGUACACCAUGUUUUAAAUGACAAAGGCCACUUCUGGAUGCUUUCAUGCCAUGGGGAUGGUACCGAUUACCAGGAGAGCCUCUCCUUGGGGUGACUCACACAUCCUUGGACUUUUGAAGCAAGCUUUUCAAAUGCUCCCCUAUAAAAGUUUUGGUCAACGGGACCAAAUCUUCCUGUCGUGGCUCAGCAGUAAUGAACCUGACGAGUAUCCAUGAGGACACGGGUUCGAUCCCUGGCCUCGCUCAGAGGGUUAAGGAUCCGGUGUUGCUGUGAGCUACAGCAUAGGUCGCAGGCGAGGCUCAGAUCUGGUGUUGCCGUGGCUGUGGUGUAGGCUGGCAGCUAUGGCUCCCAUUCAGCCGCCAGCCUGGGAACCUCCAUAUGCUGUGGGUGUGGCCCUAAGAAGACAGACACACACAGAAGAUUUGGCUGUUGCUCUGCGCAUUUAUGUAUGCAGUGGGCUGAAAGCAAUGCCUUUGCUAACUGACCUCUAGCACACACAGAAUGAGCAACAGUAGUUGGAACAAAACAAGAGCAAGAAACCUCAGCUAGAUGAUUCUGCUUUGACUUUCAAGAGCUGUAAUUUCACAGAAAACGUGUAACAUGCGCUAAUAUAGACAUCGUACACUUUAUGCAUACAGAAAAAACCCCCAGUAAACUUCUAAGCAGCUUUUAAUACAUGGAUCCUUUAUGGCUCUGUCCAAAGUGGCUCAAAAUCCUGACAUAGACAGGGUAGGAGGUUGUGGGGCAGAGUCACACGUGAGAGGGUUGUCUGGCUAUGAAGCAAUGGCGUGGAUACACCAAAUGUCAUUUUUUGUUCCCUCACUCAGCCCUUCUGGUACUUGUCCCAGAUGCUGAGUGCUGGGGCAAAGUGGGAAAGGUGGCAGACAGCAUUCUUACCAGAGGGUACGAUCAGCCCAAAGAGUGAUAAAAAUUGAUGGGUGAUGACGACACAGGGAGAUAAAUAAAACCAAAGAAGAGCAGACUGCUCUCAGAGCAGGUGGAGCGCUGCUAACCUGCUUCUCAUGGUCAAGGUUGGGUGUUCAAACCGAGAUUUGGAGAUGCAAGAUAGAGGGCAAGAAAGCCCGUCAUUGGGAGGGAGAUGUGUGUGUUUUCCAAUCCGAUGUGUUUUCUAAAACAUAGCAAAUGAUUAAAAAAAGCCGCACUGUUGACUCUCUCAGUCUUCAUUUCAGGAAAUUAACUUUCUUUGGGCUGAAAGUAAAAGAUAAUAAACAUAUUUGGUACCUACGAAAUCAGUGGUGGUAUAAAAAUACUUGGCACACGUUAUCACAAUGAAUUCUUGUGUCGUAUCUCCAGCAAUAAGAAUGGACACAGUCACAACGGCACCGAAGGUCAGAGCUUCAGCUGUCUUCCCAGGACUCGCGGCUACUGAGGGGCCGUGUCAGGCACCCACCUGCCUGAGGCCAAAGCUGGGGGAUGUCCACUCUUUCAUGUGGCUCUAUCUGAAGCUUUCCCAAGGAAAACUGGACUUCGUUUGUAGAUAGUAAGCAUGCGAAUAAAAUGGGACUGAUAACAUUACAUCAGGAAUGUUCUAGCAGGAGUUCCCACCAUGGUGCGGUGGAAAGGAGUCCGACCAGGAACCGUGAGGUUGCGGGUUCGAUCCCUGGCCUCGCUCGGCGCAGUAAGGAUCCUCCGUGGCUGUGGGCGGCCGGCAACUGUAGCUCCGAUUCGGCCCCAGCCUGGGAACCUCUAGAAGAAGAAUGUUCUAACAUCUCCCCGGCUUCUAAAUAACUGCGUUUACUUGGACAGGGGACCACCCUCUCCCUUUGUACAGGAUGUUGGGUUGAUAGGCAGUAAACUCGCGGCUGUCGCUCUGGACCUGGGCUUCUGCCACCUGGAGGGUCAGUUGUCGUCAGAAGUCAAGGGCUCCCAAGGUCAACACAGAAAGCGACUGCGUGCAAAGGCCCCGGGAGAGAUUUUCGCACGCUCGCCCUGUCUGUGGAGAGAACCCCUUUCACGCCUGGUCUCGGACUCGGUCACAGCAGCCGCGCACACGCACGCGAGGGGCUGGACACACGGUCCAGCUGCGUGAGGGGUUGACAUGCCCGGCUUGUCACGCGUGCUUUGAUGCACAGGCCACAAAAAUAGAGGCUUUUUUCUUUUUACACUGGCACCAUAAAAAUCAAAUUAGACAAAGCUAGACUGUUACAGACAUUCAUAAAAAUUCAAAGACCUCUUGUCUGGAUUCUGUUACC